UUGCAUAUCAAAAAGCGGAGGAAAAGAAACCAACAGGGAUUGCCCUAGUAACGGCGAGUGAAGCGGCAACAGCUCAAAUUUGAAAGCUGGCUCCGGCCCGCGUUGUAAUUUGCAGAGGAUGCUUCUGGCGAGGUGCCUUCCGAGUUCCCUGGAACGGGACGCCAUAGAGGGUGAGAGCCCCGUAUGGAUGGACACCAAACCUGUGUGAAGCUCCUUCAACGAGUCGAGUAGUUUGGGAAUGCUGCUCUAAAUGGGAGGUAAAUCUCUUCUAAAGCUAAAUACCGGCCAGAGACCGAUAGCGCACAAGUAGAGUGAUCGAAAGAUGAAAAGCACCUUGAAAAGGGGGUUAAACAGUACGUGAAAUUGUUGAAAGGGAAGCGCUUGUGACCAGACUUGCGCCGGGCAGCUCAUCAGGGGUUCUCCCCUGUGCACUCUGCCCGGCUCAGGCCAGCAUCGGUUCUCGUGGGAGGAUAAGAACGGUAGGAACGUGGCCCCCCUCCGGGGGGGUGUUAUAGCCUGCCGUACGAUACUCCCGUGGGGACCGAGGUUCGCGCUCCGCAAGGAUGCUGGCGUAAUGGUCAUCAGCGACCCGUCUUGAAACACGGACCCA
Molecule: ribosomal RNA, 610 nt
Filed under: Cytospora sp. RM-2019g
Lineage: Eukaryota; Fungi; Ascomycota; Sordariomycetes; Diaporthales; Cytosporaceae
Description: partial large subunit ribosomal RNA
Rfam family: Eukaryotic large subunit ribosomal RNA
Source: RNAcentral